AAACCUCAGUCCCCUUAAAACUUUUAAAGGAUAACAGCUAAUCCACUGGUCUUAGGAACCACCCAUCU
Molecule: transfer RNA, 68 nt
Filed under: Nesophlox lyrura (Inaguan woodstar)
Lineage: Eukaryota; Metazoa; Chordata; Aves; Apodiformes; Trochilidae
Description: tRNA-Leu
Source: RNAcentral